CUCCAGAUCACCGCUGGUCGCGCACGUCUCCGCCGGUGUGAAGUCAACGCCGACUCCCGCGUCUCUUCCUCGCCUUUCUGCUCAGAUCGAGCAGGGCAGGAACGGGCCGGCGGCGGCUCGUCUCUUUUCUCUCUCAAGAUCUUGCAAGGGAUAGUAUGCAAAACAAAAGCAUCUUCUCGUGGAUCUUCCAGCCAUCAAGCUUGCAGAUAGUGCAGAGGUUACAGAAGAGACCAUAUUAAUAUCAUUGAGGCGAGCCCUUGCUCAACACUCUGCUCUGCAAGCGGACGAUGGACACUGGGCUGUCGACUUCAGUGCAAUUAUGUUCAUUAUGCCUAUCUUGGUGUGUUCUUUAUUUACAUAUGGCACUAUAUUUUGAGCGACAGCGAGCGUGCCCGAGCGAGGAGAGGUCGGCGGCGGCUGGUACCCUGUGUACCCAUCAGUAAUGGUUCAACGAAUCCAACCUACACGCUUUUUAUUUUCGUUUCUUAGGUCCUUAGGCUGCUGAACGUGCCAUUGCAGACGAAGUGGGAGUCUCACAGGGAGGAGGAUCCGCCGCACCCUCCUUGCUGCCUGUGCGCCGAGGGUGAAUUGGCGCUGCUCAGGCAGGCGGCGGGCACCAUACUUUCUUCCAGGACUGUGCCAAAAGGAUUUGAAGUAUUCUCCAUCUACAUGCUUCCAGGACUUCCUGCACCACCUCUCAUCUUCCUCCCGAUCAAGAUCGUGCCAAAAGAAUUGAUACUAACAAGAUGUGCAGAACAUGUAAGAGCCUACAGCAACACCCUCCAUGAAACAAGAGGGAAA
RNA transcript from Lolium rigidum, 801 nucleotides. RefSeq lists it as uncharacterized. The transcript has 4 exons. The record is from RefSeq and is a predicted model, not a curated record. NCBI's taxonomy places the organism in Eukaryota, Viridiplantae, Streptophyta, Magnoliopsida, Poales, Poaceae.